Molecule: non-coding RNA, 346 nt
Organism: Vicugna pacos (alpaca)
Lineage: Eukaryota; Metazoa; Chordata; Mammalia; Artiodactyla; Camelidae
Source: RefSeq, a predicted model, not a curated record
CAGAACUUUGGAAACUGAGCAGAAGCAAGGGAGGGAGAUAGCAGAUGGACCACAACUGAAAACGAGCCACAAACCCAGUCUGAUACUGUUCUGUGUAGUUGUGAGGCCUGGGAAUCCUGAGCCAUCUUGCUUCUGGCCUGAGAUGAAGAACAUGGGGAGAGAACAGGGCAGAAAGCAGCAUGGUGAUUUCAGAGGAGAGGAGCUGGAGCCACUGGGUGAAACUCCACCCCCGUCCAAUGCCUCUCUGACAUCUGGACAUUCAGUUAGGUGCCUCAGGACAUUUUUGUUUGGCUUAUGCAGCUUCAAGUUGGAUGUUACGGUCCUUAUAGCCAAAAACAACACAACU